CGCACGGGUGAGUAACACGUAUCCAACCUGCCGUCUACUCUUGGACAGCCUUCUGAAAGGAAGAUUAAUACAAGAUGGCAUCAUGAGUCCGCAUGUUCACAUGAUUAAAGGUGUUCCGGUAGACGAUGGGGAUGCGUUCCAUUAGAUAGUAGGCGGGUAACGGCCCACCUAGUCUUCGAUGGAUAGGGGUUCUGAGAGGAAGGUCCCCCACAUUGGAACUGAGACACGGUCCAA
This 234-nucleotide ribosomal RNA is filed under the name uncultured bacterium. RNAcentral describes it as "partial 16S ribosomal RNA". It matches the Rfam family "Bacterial small subunit ribosomal RNA", at positions 99 to 334 of the family's 1533-position model. The record is from RNAcentral.